RNAcentral lists this long non-coding RNA (226 nucleotides) under Elaeis guineensis (African oil palm). RNAcentral describes it as "long non-coding RNA (EGUI_LNC025605)". Lineage: Eukaryota; Viridiplantae; Streptophyta; Magnoliopsida; Arecales; Arecaceae. The record is from RNAcentral.
GGAGGGGGAGGGUGGAGUCGCAUCACAGUCAAUACGCACUUUCUCCGUCACGUCUCUCUUAUUUUUUUUAAACAAUACCAGAUCAGCUAAUGGGCGAGGGAAGUCCUUCGUUUAUAUUUUAGGAAAGUCUUACAGAUGCACGCCGAUCUAAUGGUCGGAGAGUCAACCGGAUAUAGGUUGAAAUCCGAUCGACGGGAGCCGAGUCUAUCUCUAUACACAUACACAC